This 896-nucleotide ribosomal RNA is filed under the name uncultured bacterium. Its description in RNAcentral is "bacterial SSU rRNA". It matches the Rfam family "Bacterial small subunit ribosomal RNA", at positions 8 to 916 of the family's 1533-position model. The record is from RNAcentral.
AGAGUUUGAUCAUGGCUCAGGACGAACGCUGGCGGCGUGCUUAACACAUGCAAGUCGAGCGGUAAGGCUCCUUCGGGAGUACACGAGCGGCGAACGGGUGAGUAACACGUGAGCAAUCUGCCCUUCACACGGGGAUAACUUCGGGAAACCGAAGCUAAUACCCGAUACGACCACUUCAGGCAUCUGAUGGUGGUGGAAAGUUCCGGCGGUGAAGGAUGAGCUCGCGGCCUAUCAGCUUGUUGGUGGGGUAAUGGCCCACCAAGGCAACGACGGGUAGCCGGCCUGAGAGGGUGACCGGCCACACUGGGACUGAGACACGGCCCAGACUCCUACGGGAGGCAGCAGUGGGGAAUAUUGGACAAUGGGCGAAAGCCUGAUCCAGCAACGCCGCGUGAGGGAUGACGGCCUUCGGGUUGUAAACCACUUUCAGCAGGGACGAAGCGCAAGUGACGGUACCUGCAGAAGAAGCACCGGCCAACUACGUGCCAGCAGCCGCGGUAAUACGUAGGGUGCGAGCGUUGUCCGGAAUUAUUGGGCGUAAAGGGCUCGUAGGCGGUCUGUCACGUCGGGAGUGAAAACACGGGGCUUAACCCCGUGCCUGCUUCCGAUACGGGCUGACUAGAGGUAUGCAGGGGAGAACGGAAUUCCUGGUGUAGCGGUGAAAUGCGCAGAUAUCAGGAGGAACACCGGUGGCGAAGGCGGUUCUCUGGGCAUUACCUGACGCUGAGGAGCGAAAGUGUGGGGAGCGAACAGGAUUAGAUACCCUGAUAGUCCACACCGUAAACGUUGGGCGCUAGGUGUGGGACUCAUUCCACGAGUUCCGUGCCGCAGCUAACGCAUUAAGCGCCCCGCCUGGGGAGUACGGCCGCAAGGCUAAAACUCAAAUGAAUUGACGG